GGCUAUGGAACUUCGGAGCGAGGUAUAUAUAUGUAUAGCGGCCUUGUGGGCAUAGAGGUAUGGUUAAUAAUUAUGGGGACAUAGGUCUCAAGAGUAUUGCUACUCAUCAAUCUUCAAGCACAGUAUGUUUUCUCUUCUCAUUUUGCUAUUUAAUAGUCUUGGUUAUUUUUUUCUUCCUUAUUUAAAGGCCCUAUUAAAUGUAUAUA
Nicotiana tabacum (common tobacco) is the source of this 206-nucleotide non-coding RNA. The record is from RefSeq and is a predicted model, not a curated record. Lineage: Eukaryota; Viridiplantae; Streptophyta; Magnoliopsida; Solanales; Solanaceae.